Molecule: long non-coding RNA, 9365 nt
Organism: Epinephelus moara (kelp grouper)
Lineage: Eukaryota; Metazoa; Chordata; Actinopteri; Perciformes; Serranidae
Exons: 5
Source: RefSeq, a predicted model, not a curated record
UUCCGUUGCCACCUGCAGUCAGGUGUUAGCAAACAUUGAGGAACAUUAGCAUUAAUUUUGAGUCGCGUUUCUGCUCAACUGACAAAUAGUUAGAGACCUCCGCGGAGAAUUCAGUGCUUGAUGAAAACCUCCUGAACAUCUGGAUCUUAAGUUAGAAUAAAAAGAGUUGGGAGAUAGUAAAAGCUGGAGACAUGUUGCUUGUGGAUGUGUUUCCAAGGUGAUAAACCUUUCACUCCAAAAGUGACAAGAGGUUGAGAAAUCGCAACAGCCGCUCACACUGCUCUGUUGAGCCAGGCCUUGGGCUGCCAGCGGAGGACGUGAAGUCAAGUUAGGGAGCCAAGGCCACUGUCAGCUCUCAGUGGUUAGAAUAACCCAGAAAAACCUCCUGGGAACCGGGCCUGGAUCAGACCAGCGCUGGCAGGGAGAAUAAGUGAGAGUUUAGUUUAAAGCUUUCAAGCAGUGGCGGACUUGUUGGAACGUGUGAACACAGCCUCCUUCUUCAAUUCCUUCAGUCACCUUUUUCAGCAGGUAAGUGUUGCCAUAUCUGCACAAAUCCAAAAGCCUGGUGACAUCCAAGUCUUUCAUAAUAUUUAAAAGUAGGGUUCUCCUUCCAACUGGGAAUAUGGGCUUUUAUUUUGGGCAUGCAUCUCUACCCAACUGGUCCAGCCACGGAGUCCAGAUUUCUCCUUAGUCACUAGUUCAAGGUCCACAGAGUUGAAUCAGUUCAGCAUCAUGUUUGUCCAUGUCAUUGAGCUAGUCUCUGUUAAGUAGCUGCCUGCCCGCUUAGCCUGACGUGCACCUCCCCAGAAAUGUAACUACACUUUGUAGCGACGCAGUCCUCCUGUAUAUUUUUGUAAGCUGAAGUAUUUUAGGUCUUGUGUGUGAUUUAUCUUGGCUUCAUGUGAGCAGAGGAAGUCUCCGCUUGUCGCUAGGCUAAUACAAUGUAAAAUGCCAUAGGCUUGUACUAUUUUAGCAUGUUGUAUUUGUGGGGAAAAUGUGUCCAGAUAAAGACAAGUGUUUGUCUGUGAAUGCUGCGAGUUAUAGUGAAGCUGAUUUGUGUUCUUGUGUUUGAUAUUGUCGCUAUUAAGUCAUGUUUAAAGUGUGAGUAGAAUCAACUGAACUUCACAGCACUUCACAGAAACCUGCACCGCUGACUAGUGUUUUGGAGGUGUAACUGCAGAGUGACUUAGACACACCACCACACAAGUGUAAAUGCUCACAACAGCAUCUGCGUCAUGUGUACGCUACGGCUUAGGGUCUGCCGCACAACUAUAAAUCCCACUUGAACAUGCAAGACGCCAUGUGUCGCAAACUAUGGGAAAACUCCCAGUUGAGAUGCAUAUUCCGAAUGCUUCCAAUGCUUCUAAAGCCUAAAUAACAAUGACAUAUCCCACAUUUGUCAAUCUGAAAAAGCAACAUUUGGAGUAAGGUCUAUUUCAGAAUACCUAAAGGGAGUAUGCUAUUUAUGUGACCUGUAUCAAAUUCAGAAAACUGUUUGGAUAUUAGAAAUUGCACCUUAUUCUGAAUGUAGCAUUUUCCGAUUAAGACGUGGGAUAUGCCGGUCUUAUUCUGUUUUUAGGAGCAUUCCUUUAAGAUGUAUACAGGGCACUGGGAAUAUGCGUCUCAGUCAGGGUUUUCACCAAAGUUUGCUACACAUGACCUCUUACCUGUUUACAUCCAGCUCUGUGAGUUCUGAUUAUGCAUCCAUGGUUGUAGCCUACACCAACCAACUCACCAACAGUUUGAAAGGCUGGGGUAACGAUACACGCCCAAAAGAAAAGCACACAAUUCUGGUCGGAAGGAGAAAAACACCUACUUUUAAUCAUUAUAAAAAAGACUUGGAUAUCAACAGGGUUUUGGAUAUUCAUACACAUCAUAGCCGCAGGAUGUAUGCAUAGAAAUAGCAUGAAACAUGAUGUACUGUAGCUGCCUCUGAAGAACAAGUCAGAGCUGUUGCUUUUUAUGAAUAAUUCCAAACUUCCCACAGACGUAUUUCACCAUAACUAACAACAAUCACCUUAUCACGGCAAAAACUUCAAUGUACUCUCUAUUUAUUCUAUUUCUGUGGACAUACGUCAUGGGAGCAUUUUACGCUAAUCAAAAGAUGCAUGGCUGCCUGUAAACAGGGAUAUUAUUUGAAUAUUCAUUUACAUUAGCCAUGUAGACAGCUUACAGGACUAUUGUAUGUUUUGGAAUAAGGGCAUAAACCAGAAUAACUUGUGUACAUAAACAUAGUCAGUUUUGUCCUCUAUGGCAGUGGUUUCCAACUGGUCCAUUCACAGGGUCCAGAUUUCUCCUCAGUCAUUAGUUCAAGGUCCACACAGUUUAGUAUAUCAAGUGUCAUACUUGUGUUUGGCCAUGUCGUCGAGCUAGUUUGCUGUCUCUGUCAAGUAGCUGUCUGUUAUUCACUCACUCUACAGCAAUAAACAGUACUUCAUAAUUAGGGAUGCGCGCGAUUAGACAUUUCAACUAUUAAACAUCCACCCCCUUGCUAGUAAGCGACAGAAAUAUUAGUCGGUUAAACCAAUUAGUGUUUUAUUUGUGUACAAGGCUGCUUAGCUGUCAUGCAGCCUCCCGCCACUAGUGGGGGAUACAGAGCCGUCAGACAGCAGCCCCCUUCCCCGCGGUAAUGCUUGAGUAGUUUCAAAACAGCACAGUGGGAAAUAGGAGAGAUGUCCUCUUGCGAAACCAGCGUGGUUUGGCAAGUUAGCAUGUAGGCUGUGUCAGAAAAAAACUGGAGCAAUGCGCAACCACAUUCAACUCCAGCAUUUGGAUGUUAACCUGCGUGGAAUGACGACUGCUGCUGCUAGCGGUGCUAGCCACACAUAGCCCAAAUUGACAUUGUUUACCCAGAGACGCUGUGAUCCCGCCAGGUCUGAGAAGAUAACGCAAGACCUUGCAAGAUAUGCUUCCACUUAACUUUGUUGAAGGUAAAAGCUUCAGGAAGUUAAUGCAAUAUGUUGAGCCUGAAAGUUCAUGUUCGCAUUCAUACCACACAGCACAAAGUGUCUCGUACUUCAGUGGCAUUUAAAAUCUGCCAUGGUUGUUGAAGAUUGUGAUAAAGGGCUCUUAAUGCACACAAUAUUUUUUGGGACAAUGUUUUAAAUGCUUAACAAAAAAUUGUGAAAAUUGUGAGUUGACGAGGGUUCUCUUAGUGAUAUGUACAUUUGCUUAAUGUAUUAAGUUGAACAAAUUAAAAACUCCGGUGCAAAGUAAUGCAAAUGUUAUUAAGCUCUGAGCAAGUCGGCAUGUUGUCUCCACCGCUCAGACAGAGAGCAUUUAACUGCAAAAGAAAACUGUUGAAUGAGUUAGGUGUCAUUAAUCAUUCAUUAAAUACGACAAUAGAUCACACCAGACUUCUGAAAGCAGACUCUCGUGUUACACUUUCAGGCCGAUAGCACAUGAACAUGGCAGGACCUGCUGAUAAGACCCUGCAGGAGCGGUAUAGUAUGUGGCAACUGCUGCAAACCCAACAGAGUGCUAAUCUGGGUCAGAAUACAGACCCGAGCCUGCCCUUCACUAAGACUGUGUGGAUGUAUGAGAGAGGGAGAGAGAGUAUUGGAGGGUUUAGUGAGUUAAUCCUACACCCUCAGUAAUGCUACUUUAACAGUAGGAGAGGACUUAGAGACCAAACACACAUGAUCGACUUGAAGUGAUACCGAGGCCCUGCGCUUAACAUUUCCUGGAUAAUCUGUUUAACUGGACAACAAGGAAACUUAAAAUUAGCCUUUGAUUUAUCAUUUGAUUGAUUACAGUCAGCGUCUGACUGCACAAGUUAAACUACUUCAGGUUAGUAUUAAUGUGAAAUACAAUUCAAUGUUGUUUUAAAGCUUUAAUCACAAAAUCUUAACAUCAUGUUACGUAUCAACUGAAACCCCUUAAACUGAUGUAGCCUGCCAUUUGCCCUCAAACCACCUCAUACAAUGAAAUAUGAAGUAAAGAAAUCCAUCUUCACCCUCUUCUCUCCCUACAUUCCUCUCUUUACAGCCAACAAUAGCUGCCAUCCAUCUCCGCUGGUGGGAAGUCACCGCUGAGGAACCACGGUCAUUGUUGUCAAAACCAAAGAGGAGAGGUGAGGCUCGCGGCCGCCCGUCACCUGAGAGCGCCCGGGGCCCGUCCACGCGUUUGCCACACACACAAGAGGGCCACUACAGAUGACACAAAGGCAGGCGGGGAAAAGGACAAUGAGGUGCAGCGGGAGGACAACAGAGGAGUGAACGUAAGGGCCCUCAUUUGUUAUUUCCCUCAUCCAUCAGUUUUCACCUGGGUUACUCAGGAGAAUAGGUGCGGCUUGCGGAAGAGAAGGGUGAGCUAUUAUGUGAACUGUGCAGGCUUCAAUUAGCUUCCUUUCAAUGAGUGAGGUGGUAAUGGUUACAUAUCUUUCUGCGCCUAAUGGCAUCAAACCCGUGACCUUUAUAUUGUGGAACAUAACCUGUGGCAGGACACGCUGAGCCAUUAGCGAUGCUAGCUUUAAAGGAAUACUUCACCCACAAAAGGACCAUUUAUAUAUCAAUUACACACUGUGUGUUACCUUAAAUUUUUUAAGGAAAACAUUCUCUCUUUAAUGCAUUCCUCCACUGUGAACGGAGAAUCAAAAAACAAGGCGAACAUUCUUCAUGAAUUGAAGUAAUCAGGGUCCGCGUUUAACAACAGUACCGACACGGUAAUCGGUGAACAGCUGAGCGGCCGUGGUGGAAACAAAGUGAAGAUUACUCAAAAAUGCCUCGAGUUGACAGCAGCUACACUCGUUACUGUAAGUGACAUUAAACCUUAGCGAGUAAGAAGCCAAUAAUUUAUCAAUACAUGUAGACAGUGAUAUUCAAUAUGCUCUGUCCACAGUCUCUCAUCCACCGACACUAACGUUAUGUCUUACACAACGACAGCACACUUGUUCGGCUGAUAGCGCAUUGUUACUAAUAAGCUCAAAUGACAGCUGUCUGUAUGUAGACUAACUUAGUUUGACACUUGUCUUAAAAUACUUUUAAACUUAGCUGCUGUCUGAGACAAAGAGCCCCAACUCUCUACACCAGCACUGUUACCUGCACACAGUGAAUCACAGGACAGGAGGACUGACUGAUAAAUACUAGACUUCACUCAGUAUUGUGAUGUCAGGAAUAUUAUUUACACAGUGACUUUGCUGUUGUAAAAAUUACGGUUGCUGCUCUAGAAACAUCAAUUUGUUUUAUUCAAAAUAUUCAAUGAUCCUGUUCUGAAUUUAUUCAUUUAAAAUUAAUAUAUUUUCUAAAAAGCAAUUAUUUAGAAAUGAAAAAGAACCGAUAAGAGUACCGAUAAAGGUAGUAGUAUCGAUAAAAUCUUAACAAUACCCAACCCUACUGAGCAUACAACUGUAUAGAUGAGACUUGGGUUAUACUGCACGAGUUUGUGACAGAAAUGGAUGUUUUGAUAUGGUUUUGCUGUUGUUAAAUGCCGACCCUGAUUGCUUCAACUCAUGAAUGAAAGUUAAACAUUUUUGGAUUCUCUGUUCACCAUGGUAGUAUGCAAGAAAAACAAAGUUUUCCUCCCAAAUUUUGAGUAACACACGAUGAGUAAUUGAUAUACAAAUGUUCAAUUUGGGUGUGGAGUGUUCCUUUAAUGCAUCUCAGACCAGGUUCAUGCUUAAAGCAGCGAUCCAUUACAUUUCCAUACAACUUAUUCAGUUGUAUGGAAAUGUAAAUUUCUGAAAAUUAUUAUGUUGUAUGUUUCCUGCAGUUACAGAAAGAAAACUUCAGCAGCAAACCCACAGAGCACAAGUCACUCUUUGAUUGACACGUGACUAAACACCACAGCUAUGACCCUUUACUACAAAAAAGUUAAAACAGAACAAUCACUAAUCUGCUGGAUUGCUACUUGAAGUUGCUGCUUGCAUAUGUGCCCCUGGUUAACAAGAGCAUCCUGAUGACUGGUGUAAAUCCAUGUCAAGUUUCUAAUAAACGCUAUGCGUGCUUGAAAGAGCACACAUUGCUAAUAAGGUUUUUCACUUAAUAAGCCAAUCAAUACAUUGAACUGGAUGCCUCCUUUCUUAGACUCCGAGGGGGAUUCCAGAGGGGCCAAAUCAACAGGGACACACAUUCACAUGGACAAUACGAGGGGGCACAAAAUCCCCAUCGGGACCUGUUUUUUCCCCAAUGUUCGUUAAUAGUAAAAGUUCAUCCACCAGAAAGAGAAGUAGAGGGUGGGGGGAGGGAUCUUGACCCCCCAGCAGAAGGUUAACAAAUUUGUGCUUAAUGAUUGGAGCAAUGAAUCCUGGGACAAAGGGUCUCCAGCCGAGACUGGCAGCAAAGGGGUUACAGGCAGCGCUCACUCAAGCGUUCUGCCCGACAUUUUGGGAAAAGCUGAGAGUGGGGAGGGCCAGAAAAAAUUCCAUACGCUCUGCGCCAUAAUUAAUUCUUCCACCCUGUGAUAACUAUUGUCCUGAAACUGAAAAUUACAGUUUUCAGGGGCCACCCCCGGCUAAUUUCGUGGAAAAGGGAAAGCAGGGGAGAGGAAGAAGGGAAAGGGGGUAAGGGUCAUCCGAGAGUCAUUCUCGUCGCUAUCAAAGGCUCAGCUCGCUUCUGCUUCACUUGCUGGGCUUCAUCUCGGCUGACAGGUGUAUUGUUUCACAAGGGGAUAUAAGCUCUGUAAUCAUCAUUGGGUGGAAAGCAUAACGCUCUUCACUAAGCAGGACUAAUUGGCUUUAGUUUUAACUAAUGUUUCAGUGUGACUGCUAGACACACCUUCUGUAUCAAGGCUCAGCACUCCCCAGCACAAUAACCGCUCAAUUUAGCCCCGCGGUAACAAAACCUCAACUCUGCUAAUGAAAAUUGCUUAUAAAAUAUAAUGAACCUGUGCUCGCGUAAUCAAAUAAGAUAACCGUUCCCCCCCUCCCGUAAUAACCUAUUAAUUUAAUUGGUCAUGAAAGAAUAUAAGACAUCACUUACAUUUAAUUGACCUAGAAAGGAAAGUAGCAAUAUUUGACGGAGGCAAGCUAGCAGCUAGCAACGGCUAGCUAAUGAAGCUGUAAAAGACUGACUAGUCGUGAGGAAGAGUCGACAUAUUUCUGUCACCAUCUCUCUCCCAGCUUCUAUCUUUUUCCCUCCCUCCUCCUCUUUCCUUCCUUCCUCCCUCCUUUUACUCCCUCUUCCCCCUCCCUCUUGUCGUUUACGCUUCUCUCGCUCGCCAUCUCUUCAUCCGCCCCUCCCUCUUUCUGUCUACCCCUCUCUCUCUGUCUUUUUUCUUCCGCUGUCUACUCGUCCUCUCUGUGCUUUGCCCGUCUCGCAGAGGAUUCCUCUGGUGGCCCAAUUACGAGAUUCAGCAGGCAAAUUGAGGCUGUUUAAAGCAAGGUCUGCUGGGAAGGCUAGCAGCUGCUGGAAAGAGGCAGCUUGGACAUGGCGAACCAGCCCUCAUGUUUACACACUCACACACAUAAACACAGACACACACACACACACGACUCAUUCUGAAAGCACAGCCUUUCUAUUACCAUGUCUCCCUGCAUUUCAAACCUGAAAGAUGCCAUUCGAUGUGAGAUUUUCUUUCUUUGCUUUGGUCGUGGACAUUUGUGACAGAAACAAGGGCGGAAUAUUAUCAUCGCCGCACGCACGUGCAUGCACGCACAUUCUGUGGAGGGUUAAUGGUCUCUAUUUUUGUAAACUGAAUAAGUCAAAUCCAUUGGUCACACCUCUGGUGAUGGCAUAUUUAAUUUGGAUCUAGUCAAUUAGGCCCAGCUAAGCUCCAUACCCUGCUGGCUACCUCCUCCAUUUUGCACUAGUUUGUGUCCCCUCCCUGUGCCAGGAGUAAUCCUAUUACCAUACACACACACAUGCACAUACGUACACACACAUACACAGUUAGACAGACAUGCACGUUUGUACGCGUGCACACACCCACACAUGUGCAAAUGCAUGUAUUUCACAUAUGAAUGUUUGUAUGUGAGAUACAUGCACCCACACAGGUAUACACACAGGUUCACACACACUAAACAAUGAUUUUUCUCACAACAAUUGGACCCGUAGCCACUUUCUACACACUGUGCACUGUGACAACACCAAGCCUGUAUACAUCCAGAAUUAUGUGGGAGUCUAUUUGGCCCUGGGGCGAGAGGGAGGGAGGGAGAGGGGGGAGGAGAGGAGGUGAGAGAAAGAGAGAGAGGCAGAGAAUUAAAGAGAAGAAGAAAAAAGGUGUUUGUGUGAAAGAGAUAGGAGGAAAAUUGACAGUGAGAAAAACCACAAAGAGGGAGUGAGACAGAGCGAGCAUUAGAAAGACAGAGAGAGGAGGGGGGGAGUUGGUGGGGGGGGGGGGGGCUCCUCUAGCUGGUUAGUGUGUGUAUUAAUGUGGCUCAUGCAUCAACAGCAACCCGGCAGAUUUAUGACACUUAAGGGGCGCUCACUUCUCUCCCUCUCCUUGCACCAGCGACGACUGCUUACAUUUUUGCCAAUCAGUCUGUUGCCAUGGCAACGUCCUACCUGCCCCCCCCCAACUCCACCCCACCCUCCUAGUCCCCUACUCCACCCUAUCUCAUCCCCACCUCCCCUGUCCCGACCCGUCCCCGCCUUCUUUCCUUCUCAUCACUCCUCUCCUCCUCUUUCCUCUCUGCCCCAUUCACCUUCUUUCUCCUCCUAUCUGUUUGGCGCACACACACACACACACACUCACACUAAGAAUAUAUGUUUCAUAAAAAUAUACUUUUAACAUUACACAAUUGUUUGAUUUUCAGUCAUUUUAAAUUUCAUACUCAAACAUUCAAAAUGUGUUCACGUCAUUCAUUACCAUCAAUUAUUGUUAUUUGUGUAUCGUAUGCACCCACACGUGUUCAAACUAUGUAGUUUUAUCUCCCCCCUCUGCCUUUCUUCCUCACUUUGCCUUGUUUUUUAUCCUGACAACCUUCUCUUCUUUCCUCUCCUCCCUGAUAUGAAGGAUGUUUCGUCCUGUAGCUAUUGGAUAUGUGAGACAGCGAAACAGCUACACACUCACACACACAUUACAUACACAAAGAAUUACAAGGUUGUGAUCAAAGGCUCUUAUCACUAGACCGAGGGUGGAACAGUUACAGAGAGAGUAACAGAGAAAAAUCCGCCUGGGAAAAACUAUUCAAACACAUAAAAAAGUACAAAAGUAUUCCCAAAUAUCAGUGUGGAUUGUAGCCGUUUGCAAAAACAAGGACUUGUGCUAAUUAAAACUCCCAUAACUUAAAUAUUUUCAUAAUUAUUUUGUGCAAAAUAGAGAUUCCAUUUUUGAAACACGUUAAAUCGCAAUCCAAAAACAGAUCCGCACCUACUGAUCUGCUGUAAAUUUGUCCAUGAAUAUUGUUCUGUAUAUCUAACUCUGAGACCCCCAUUCAGAAUGUUGUAAACAUGCCUCUACUGCAUUGAAUUCAAUAAAUCUGUGUC